AUUGAACGCUGGCGGAAUGCUUUACACAUGCAAGUCGAACGGUAGAGGGGGCAACCCCUCGAGAGUGGCGAACGGGUGAGUAAUAUAUCGGAACGUGCCCAGUCGUGGGGGAUAACGUAGCGAAAGUUACGCUAAUACCGCAUACGAUCUAAGGAUGAAAGCGGGGGAUCACAAGACCUCGCGCGAUUGGAGCGGCCGAUAUCAGAUUAGGUAGUUGGUGGGGUAAAGGCUCACCAAGCCAACGAUCUGUAGCUGGUCUGAGAGGACGACCAGCCACACUGGAACUUAGACACGGUCCAGACUCCUACGGGAGGCAGCAGUGGGGAAUUUUGGACAAUGGACGCAAGUCUGAUCCAGCCAUUCCGCGUGCAGGAUGAAGGCCCUCGGGUUGUAAACUGCUUUUGUACGGAACGAAAAGGUCUCUCUUAAUACGGGGGACUCAUGACGGUACCGUAAGAAUAAGCACCGGCUAACUACGUGCCAGCCGCCGCAGUAA
This 496-nucleotide ribosomal RNA is filed under the name uncultured bacterium. RNAcentral's name for it is "partial 16S ribosomal RNA". It matches the Rfam family "Bacterial small subunit ribosomal RNA", at positions 30 to 523 of the family's 1533-position model. The record is from RNAcentral.